RNAcentral lists this ribosomal RNA (368 nucleotides) under uncultured Glomeromycotina. RNAcentral's name for it is "eukaryotic LSU rRNA". The record is from RNAcentral. Lineage: Eukaryota; Fungi; Glomeromycota.
UUGAAAGGGAAACGAUUGAAGUCAGUCGUACCGACGAGAAAUCAACUUAUCGUGUGCGAACUUGUGGGCGUGCGUGAGUUUCGGCCUCGCUGUUUGCAUGUUUGUGCGUUUUGGGUGUACUUUUUCGUAUGGUAGGCCAACGUCAGUUUCGAUUAUCAUAAAAUGACCGGCGGAAUGUAGCUUCGAUUUCGGUUGAAGUGUUAUAGCCUCUGGUAGAUGUGGUGAUUGAGACUGAGGAUUGCAACGAAUACCCUUUGGGCUAUCCGUCUGGCCUCUGAAAGCUGCUCAGGUGCCGAAAGCGUGCUUACGGUUAUCUAAGAUAACGUUCAACAGGUUAGAACGUGAUUACAUUCGUUAAGGAUGUUGAC